CAGUAGCCGCGGUAAUACGGAGGAUCCAAGCGUUAUCCGGAAUCAUUGGGUUUAAAGGGUCCGUAGGCGGUCUUGUAAGUCAGUGGUGAAAGCCCAUCGCUCAACGGUGGAACGGCCAUUGAUACUGCAGGACUUGAAUUAUUGGGAAGUAACUAGAAUAUGUAGUGUAGCGGUGAAAUGCUUAGAGAUUACAUGGAAUACCAAUUGCGAAGGCAGGUUACUACCAAUUGAUUGACGCUGAUGGACGAAAGCGUGGGUAGCGAACAGGAUUAGAUACCCGUGUAGUCCCUGUCUCUUAUAC
This 301-nucleotide ribosomal RNA is filed under the name uncultured bacterium. RNAcentral's name for it is "partial 16S ribosomal RNA". It matches the Rfam family "Bacterial small subunit ribosomal RNA", at positions 509 to 807 of the family's 1533-position model. The record is from RNAcentral.